Molecule: small RNA, 935 nt
Filed under: Pongo abelii (Sumatran orangutan)
Lineage: Eukaryota; Metazoa; Chordata; Mammalia; Primates; Hominidae
Description: retained intron
Source: RNAcentral
CUUCCCAACAUGGCGCAGUCUAUUAACAUCACGGAGCUGAAUCUGCCGCAGCUAGAAAUGCUCAAGAACCAGCUGGACCAGGUGGGGACGGGCCCCAGAGGCACCUUUUUCCCGCUCUACAUCCCCCCUGCCCACACGUACUUCUCGCGCCCGGUUCCAAGUUGGGAGCCUACCUUUCCCAGGCGAAACCUCUAUCCGGUCCCAGGACCCGCCCCCUCCCCGGCCGCGCUCCCUUCUCCCCUUAGCCCUCUCAUUGACCCGCUAUCCCCGUCCUCUGUAGGAAGUGGAGUUCUUGUCCACGUCCAUUGCCCAGCUCAAAGUGGUACAGACCAAGUAUGUGGAAGCCAAGGACUGUCUGAACGUGCUGAACAAGAGCAACGAGGGUAUGGGGUAGGCGGGUGAGGGUAACCUAAAGUGGCGAGCCAGUUUCUCUCGUCCCACCUCCUAACCCAGUUUUUCUUACCUGAAACGAGAAAAUCCAUUACAUUUCGCAUACUGCUUCAUGAACCCUUUGCAUGUUGCCUACCUAGAAUUGAAAUGUACAGGACAUUCCUCUGCUCCUAUUGCCCCUGUUUCCGUUCUUUUCACACUGUCUGUGGGUGCUGUGCCCUGUUGGAACUCUCUUUAACGUCUUACGUUGGAGCCGCUAACCUUCCCCAGGUGUUUGUCUUCAUUGCUUUCACAGGGAAAGAAUUACUCGUCCCACUGACGAGUUCUGUAUUGUUCUAAGGCCUCCAGAUUAUUCAGUCCUUAUGCCUUGUAGCUUUUUGGAAAAGGAGGGUCUUUGGAGGCCAAGCAGGCUGGUUGGCGGAAUCAUGGCUCGUGCUGGGCUAGUUUUUCCCUUAAUUCUUGCUUCUCAGAUGUAUGUCCCUGGGAAGCUGCAUGAUGUGGAACACGUGCUCAUCGAUGUGGGAACUGGGUACUAUGUAGAGAAG